UUUAAUUGAAGUCUAGAACAAAUGAUUUAACACUUUAAUUAAUUUCUUUAAUCUUCAUAUAAAAUUAUAUUAAAUGUAAAAAUACAUUUAUUUAUAAGAAAGACGACAAGACCCUAUUGAACUUUACUAUAGUUUAACUGGGGCAGUUUAAUAAUUAAAAUUUUAUUUUUAAAUAUACAAAAAUCAAUUUAAUUGAAAUAAUCAAGUUACCAUAGGGAUAACAGCGCAAUUAAUAUUUAAAGAUCUUAUAUAAAUAAUAGAUUACGACCUCGAUGUUGAAUUAAUUACCUAAUUAAAGUAAAAUCUAAAUAAGGGAGUCUGUUCGACUUUUAAAAAAUUACAUGAUUUGAGUUCAGACCGGUAUAAGCCAGGUCGGUUUCCAUCUUCUUUAAAUUGUAUACAGUACGAAAGGACCUAUAUAAAAAUAUAUCAUUAAUUAUAUUAGCAAACUAAUGCAUUAGAAUUAGAAUCUAAUUAAUCCAUAAUUAUAUUUUCCCUAAAUUAUAUUACUAUUAUAAUUAGA
This 523-nucleotide ribosomal RNA is filed under the name Vulsor sp. SCC-2010. RNAcentral's name for it is "partial 16S ribosomal RNA". The stretch from base 97 to 388 matches the Rfam family "Archaeal large subunit ribosomal RNA", at positions 2151 to 2715 of the family's 2987-position model. The record is from RNAcentral. Lineage: Eukaryota; Metazoa; Arthropoda; Arachnida; Araneae; Ctenidae.